GAUUCUCUGAAUGGCCUAAGCGCGUAUAACUUCAGCGUAGUACAUACAUUACAUAAAUGUACAUACGUGGAGUACGGGAGUCAGUGUACUUGUGUUUUGUAAAUAUAAGUAUAUUAGGCUGGUACUACAGUACUUUAUUAGACACAAAGUUUUGCAUCACAUUCAAAGUAUUUUUCGUUCGUGCUUGACUGUCUUUUUUGCCAUUUAGUACAUAACUGUGCAUUUUCUGGAUAAGUAUUUGUUUAUAUUAGAAAAUAUUACUGUUUAACAUACAUAUGUUCAAUCAAGUCAUUGAGAUUCUGAUCCAGUAAUAGUAGGUACCUAAGUGUUUUCAAUUUCAAACGGUUACUAAAGACAUCGUUAAAACAUCAAUCUAAGAGAGUUUUCUUUUCACAGAUCAAAUUCCUACCAAUAGUAGACACUAGGUAUCGGUCAGCAAUCGUUUAAAAAUGGGAGUAAUCAAAUUACUAUGUGGAUUAGUAGUCAUCAAAGUACUAUGUGGAUUGGGAGUCAUCAAAGUACUAUAUGGAUUGGGAACUGUAGUACUAUGUGGAUUGGGAGCUAUCAAUUCAGUACUAUUAAGGGUUAUAAAUUACAACCACCUCUGGGAAUUUCCAUAUACAAUCAGCCGUAAUGUAAUAAAUCCAGAUGACGGAAGAGAAGAAACUAUUACAGAAACCGGCCGUAUAUCGUAUGUACUUGUACUGCUUAUACCUGUACUGUUCAUACAUGUACUAGACCUAGCAUUGCAAUACUUGGACUACAUUGCACUGUUCGUACUCGUAUUUGUACUAAUCCCAGCAUUUGCACACUAUGGGCCAGUUGUACACCUCUCGAUCAAAUUCUAAUCUAUAGUACCUUAAGUUUACCUAACUCAUUGUUUUUGAUCAGUUAAACUCAGUUCAACAUCUUGAGCAAGAGUCAUACAAUCCACCCUUUCGUCAGCCUUUUUUACAACUACUCGAUCAUCAUCGUUGUUUUUAUCUUAAGAUUUCAUUUAAUAAUUUUUUCCAUUUUGUUUUUAUUUUCUAGACACAGCCUUUAUAUGUGAUAUUUACCUUACAAAUAAAAUCUAUGAAACGUUAA
Molecule: long non-coding RNA, 1086 nt
Organism: Planococcus citri (citrus mealybug)
Lineage: Eukaryota; Metazoa; Arthropoda; Insecta; Hemiptera; Pseudococcidae
Exons: 3
Source: RefSeq, a predicted model, not a curated record